AUUGAACGCUGGCGGCAGGCCUAACACAUGCAAGUCGAGCGGAGAGGCGGACGGGUGAGGAAUGCCUAGGAAUCUGCCUGGUAGUGGGGGAUAACGUACGGAAAAGGGCGCUAAUACCGCAUACUAUCAGAUGAGCCUAGGUCUGAUGAGCUAGUUGGGGGGGGAAAGGCCUACCAGGGCGACGAUCCGUAACUGGUCUGAGAUGAUGCUCAGUCACACUGGAACUGAGACACGGUCCACACUCCUACGGGAGGCAGCAGUGGGGAAUAUUGGACAAUGGGCGAACGCCUGUGCCAGCCAGGCCGCGUGUGUGAAGAAGGUCUUCGGAUUGUAAAGCACUGUAAGUUGGGAGGCGUGACCAACAGAAUAAGCACCGGCUAACUGCGUGCCAGCAGCCGCGGUAAUAC
Molecule: ribosomal RNA, 407 nt
Filed under: uncultured bacterium
Lineage: Bacteria
Description: partial 16S ribosomal RNA
Rfam family: Bacterial small subunit ribosomal RNA
Source: RNAcentral